UAUAAUCUGCUCGAUUGUUAAGGGUUAUUGGAUAACCGUGGGAAAUCUAGAGCUAAUACAUGUAAUUAAGGAUGGGUGUAAAAACCUAUUUGAGGGCAUUUAUUAGACAAUUACCAAUCGUGGGGUAAAAUCCAUGUGGUGAAUCUAGAUAACUUUGCAGAUCGUAUGGCCUAGAGCUGACGACAUUUCGAUUGAAUUUCUGCCCUAUCAACUAUUGUCGGUAGUGUAGUGGACUACCGAGGUUUUUACGGGUGACGGGGGAUCAGGGUUCGAUUCCGGAGAGGGAGCCUGAGAAACGGCUACCACAUCCAAGGAAGGCAGCAGGCGCGCAAAUUACCCAAUCCAGACAAUGGGAGGUGGUGACGAAAAGUACCGGAUGACGAUCUAAGAUUGUCAAUCUGGAAUGGAAUCAAUUUAAGCAAUUGAUUGAGAAACGACUGGAGGGCAAGUCUGGUGCCAGCAGCCGCGGUAAUUCCAGCUCCAGUGGCGUAUCUCAAAGUUGCUGCGCUUAAAACGCUCGUAGUUGGAUCACAAACUGUGCAUUGGUUGGGUUGAAAGGCAUCAUAGUUGUAGAUUGUUUGGUAUGUCAGCAUGCUAAAAAUUUACAUGAUAUGGUGUACCUUGAAAUUCAUUAGCUGGUGCAUAGUAAUUGCACGUGAGGAUAGAUGUUGGCCUUGAGUGAGCAGAUGUCUGUGUCUCACGGAGUGUGCCUUGAGUAAAUCAGAGUGCUUAAAGCAGGCUAUACGCUUGAAUGAUAUAGCAUGGAACGAACAAUCGUGUAUGUAGUAUGCUGGUAAUGGUCUUUUAGACUUUGUCUAUGAGGCGUCAGUAUACGACACCGACCACCAAUAACGGAUGUUGGUUCCGUAUUGGGGUAUAGAUUAAGAGGAGCGGUUGGGGGCAUUGGUAUUUGGCAGCGAGAGGUGAAAUUCUUGGACCUGUCAAGGACUUAACAAAUGCGAAGGCAUCUGUCCAGACCGUAUCCAUUAAUCAAGAACGAUAGUGAGAGGUUCGAAGACGAUCAGAUACCGUCCUAGUUCUCACGGUAAACUAUGCCGACCCGGGAUCAGUUUGGAGCUUUGUUCCAUGCUCGGAGUUGGUCCCCCUGGGAAACCUAAAGUUUUUCGGUUGCGGGGGGAGUAUGGUCGCAAGGCUGAAACUUAAAGGAAUUGACGGAAGGGCACCACCAGGGGUGGAGCCUGCGGCUUAAUUUGACUCAACACGGGAAAACUUACCUGGUCCGAACAUCCGAAGGAUACACAGACUAAUAGAUCUUUGUUGAUGGGGUGAAAAGUGGUGCAUGGCCGUUCUUAGUUCGUGGAGUGAUCUGUCAGGCCAAUCCCGGUAACGAACGAGACUACAUUCUCCAUUUGACGAAUAAGGUAAAGUCAUUCUGAUACUAUUGGCGCAACCAUAGGGGAAAGUUUGACUGAAAAGUGAUUGAAAUAAUUGAUUCAAUAGCAAUUGUGGUGACACGAUUGAAGGCGAAUAAAUGAUUUCAUGAACUCUCUUAAAAAGCAAUGUGUUUACACGUUGUAUCAUGGAGAGACAGCGGAACCAUAUUACAAAAUCCGAGGAAGUGUAGCUAUAACAG
RNAcentral lists this ribosomal RNA (1594 nucleotides) under Myxobolus bizerti. Its description in RNAcentral is "SSU rRNA". It matches the Rfam family "Eukaryotic small subunit ribosomal RNA", at positions 111 to 1459 of the family's 1831-position model. The record is from RNAcentral. Lineage: Eukaryota; Metazoa; Cnidaria; Myxozoa; Bivalvulida; Myxobolidae.